UACUCAUCGUGAUGUUAGAACUAACUACACCUCUGCAAUAUUUUCACGGCCGAAGUGGGUGCUCGCUUUAAAAUAAAACAGUAGAGAAUCUCGCUUGGCGGCCGGUACUCGCUCAGCGUAGCGUGUCGAUAACGCGGAAAUUACACGUUCGAGGAAAAAUAACUUUAAGGAGAGCAGUAUUACGAAACAUUUUCGUUUGAAAGUGAAUUAUUUCAAAGUCUUACAAAACGUCCUUAAUCAGUCAGUCAAUUCAGAAUAUUCGGUGUUACGGUCGGUGCCUAGUUAGUUUGAAAACAGUGUUAUAAAGUGUAGUGGUAUAAAAGUGAGAAAAUUGCAAGGAAAUAAUUGCUUGAUACGCUAGAAGCCAUGAAAAACAUUGACGACGACCAUGACUGAAAAAGGAGAAGUUAAUAGAAUGCUGGGUAAGUGUUUGUAUCCGAAUUACACCUUCUUUUAUUAAGAAUGAUUUCUCAAAAAAUCAUCA
Molecule: long non-coding RNA, 484 nt
Organism: Manduca sexta (tobacco hornworm)
Lineage: Eukaryota; Metazoa; Arthropoda; Insecta; Lepidoptera; Sphingidae
Exons: 3
Source: RefSeq, a predicted model, not a curated record